Molecule: ribosomal RNA, 251 nt
Filed under: uncultured prokaryote
Description: partial 16S ribosomal RNA
Rfam family: Bacterial small subunit ribosomal RNA
Source: RNAcentral
ACGCCUUUUUCUCUCUUUUUUCUGAAUUACUGGGCGUAAAGCGCACGUAGGCUGACUUUUAAGUCAGGGGUGAAAUCCCGGGGCUCAACCUCGGAACUGCCUUUGAUACUGGAAGUCUUGAGUCCGAGAGAGGUGAGUGGAACUCCGAGUGUAGAGGUGAAAUUCGUAGAUAUGCGGAAGAACACCAGUGGCGAAGGCGGCUCACUGGCUCGGUACUGACGCUGAGGUGCGAAAGCGUGGGGAGCAAACAG